CUUCUCUGCUAACAUUGCCAUUAUUUAUCACCCCCCUGGUUUCCCUCUCCUCUCACCUGACCACUUUACUGCCUGGCUACCCUACUUCCUCUCUUCUAAUAUUCCAUCCCUAAUUCUCGGGGACUUCAAUAUUCCCAUUAACCCACCUUUGACCUCAGCAGCCUCUAAACUACUUUCAAUUACUUCCUCCCUUGGCCUAUCGCAGUGGGCUAAUUCUCCUACUCAUGUACCUGGCAAUAAUCUCAACCUGAUUUUCUCUUAUUCAUGUACAGUAUCUAAUAUCUGCAACACUCCAUUUCCUCUAUCUGAU
This is a non-coding RNA of Pelobates cultripes (western spadefoot toad), 310 nucleotides long. The record is from the annotation of a GenBank genome assembly. Lineage: Eukaryota; Metazoa; Chordata; Amphibia; Anura; Pelobatidae.